CGGAAGCACCUCCUUGUCAUUGGAAAUGCCCCCAAGCCUUGUCUUUAUCUGUCAACUCCUCCAAAAUGUAAAAACACAAACAAGAUAACUCUUUCUUAAAUUUUCAACCAUCAAUUUUUUAUUCACCCAGCCUAAAAGUCCUGAUUAUCAGUUCUGGGUCCCUGGCAAUGACUGUUGGGUACAAACUGCAAAGCUUUGUUCGUCAGGUAGGGCUGGGCUUUUCAUUGACCAUGGGUUGGAAUAGUUCUGUGGGCAUAGUGUGUCUUCGAAGCCACUAUGUUUUCUGCACUUGUGACUAGAGAGCACCUUGAUAGCUCAGUUGGUAGAGCGGUGGACUGUAAGAUGCUCCUUGUGUGAAACGCUGUGAUCCUAAGGUCGCUGGUUCAACUCCAGCCGGAAGCACCUCCUUGUCAUUAGAAAUACCCCCUAGCUUUGUCUUUAUCUGUCAACUCCUCCAAAAUGUAAAAACACAAACAAGAUAACUCUUUCUUAAAUUUUCAACCAUCAAUUUUUUAUUCACCCAGCCUAAAAGUCCUGAUUAUCAGUUCUGGGUCCCUGGCAAUGACUGUUGGGUACAAACUGCAAAGCUUUGUUCGUCAGGUAGGGCUGGGCUUUUCAUUGACCAUGGGUUGGAAUAGUUCUGUGGGCAUAGUUUGUAUUCGAAGCCACUAUGUUUUCUGCACUUGUGACUAGAGAGCACCUUGAUAGCUCAGUUGGUAGAGCAGUGGACUGUGAGAUGCUCCUUGUGUGAAACGCUGUGAUCCUAAGGUCGCUGGUUCAACUCCAGCCGGAAGCACCUCCUUGUCAUUGGAAAUACCCCCAAGCCUUGUCUUUAUCUGUCAACUCCUCCAAAAUGUAAAAACACAAACAAGAUAACUCUUUCUUAAAUUUUCAACCAUCAAUUUUUUAUUCACCCAGCCUAAAAGUCCUGAUUAUCAGUUCUGGGUCCCUGGCAAUGACUGUUGGGUACAAACUGCAAAGCUUUGUUCGUCAGGUAGGGCUGGGCUUUUCAUUGACCAUGGGUUGGAAUAGUUCUGUGGGCAUAGUGUGUCUUCGAAGCCACUAUGUUUUCUGCACUUGUGACUAGAGAGCACCUUGAUAGCUCAGUUGGUAGAGCGGUGGACUGUAAGAUGCUCCUUGUGUGAAACGCUGUGAUCCUAAGGUCGCUGGUUCAACUCCAGCCGGAAGCACCUCCUUGUCAUUGGAAAUACCCCCAAGCCUUGUCUUUAUCUGUCAACUCCUCCAAAAUGUAAAAACACAAACAAGAUAACUCUUUCUUAAAUUUUCAACCAUCAAUUUUUUAUUUACCCAGCCUAAAAGUCCUGAUUAUCAGUUCUGGGUCCCUGGCAAUGACUGUUGGGUACAAACUGCAAAGCUUUGUUCGUCAGGUAGGGCUGGGCUUUUCAUUGACCAUGGGUUGGAAUAGUUCUGUGGGCAUAGUGUGUCUUCGAAGCCACAAUGUUUUCUGCACUUGUGACUAGAGAGCACCUUGAUAGCUCAGUUGGUAGAGCGGUGGACUGUAAGAUGCUCCUUGUGUGAAACGCUGUGAUCCUAAGGUCGCUGGUUCAACUCCAGCCGUAAGCACCUCCUUGUCAUUGGAAAUACCCCCAAGCCUUGUCUUUAUCUGUCAGCUCCUCCAAAAUGUAAAAACACAAACAAGAUAACUCUUUCUUAAAUUUUCAACCAUCAAUUUUUUAUUCACCCAGCCUAAAAGUCCUGAUUAUCAGUUCUGGGUCCCUGGCAAUGACUGUUGGGUACAAACUGCAAAGCUUUGUUCGUCAGGUAGGGCUGGGCUUUUCAUUGACCAUGGGUUGGAAUAGUUCUGUGGGCAUAGUGUGUCUUCGAAGCCACUAUGUUUUCUGCACUUGUGACUAGAGAGCACCUUGAUAGCUCAGUUGGUAGAGCGGUCGACUGUAAGAUGCUCCUUGUGUGAAACGCUGUGAUCCUAAGGUCGCUGGUUCAACUCCAGCCGGAAGCACCUCCUUGUCAUUGGAAAUACCCCCAAGCCUUGUCUUUAUCUGUCAACUCCUCCAAAAUGUAAAAACACAAACAAGAUAACUCUUUCUUAAAUUUUCAACCAUCAAUUUUUUAUUCACCCAGCCUAAAAGUCCUGAUUAUCAGUUCUGGGUCCCUGGCAAUGACUGUUGGGUACAAACUGCAAAGCUUUGUUCGUCAGGUAGGGCUGGGCUUUUCAUUGACCAUGGGUUGGAAUAGUUCUGUGGGCAUAGUGUGUCUUCGAAGCCACUAUGUUUUCUGCACUUGUGACUAGAGAGCACCUUGAUAGCUCAGUUGGUAGAGCGGUGGACUGUAAGAUGCUCCUUGUGUGAAACGCUGUGAUCCUAAGGUCGCUGGUUCAACUCCAGCCGGAAGCACCUCCUUGUCAUUGGAAAUACCCCCAAGCCUUGUCUUUAUCUCUCAACUCCUCCAAAAUGUAAAAACACAAACAAGAUAACUCUUUCUUAAAUUUUCAACCAUCAAUUUUUUAUUCACCCAGCCUAAAAGUCCUGAUUAUCAGUUCUGGGUCCCUGGCAAUGACUGUUGGGUACAAACUGCAAAGCUUUGUUCGUCAGGUAGGGCUGGGCUUUUCAUUGACCAUGGGUUGGAAUAGUUCUGUGGGCAUAGUGUGUCUUCGAAGCCACUAUGUUUUCUGCACUUGUGACUAGAGAGCACCUUGAUAGCUCAGUUGGUAGAGCGGUGGACUGUAAGAUGCUCCUUGUGUGAAACGCUGUGAUCCUAAGGUCGCUGGUUCAACUCCAGCCGGAAGCACCUCCUUGUCAUUGGAAAUACCCCCAAGCCUUGUCUUUAUCUGUCAACUCCUCCAAAAUGUAAAAACACAAACAAGAUAACUCUUUCUUAAAUUUUCAACCAUCAAUUUUUUAUUCACCCAGCCUAAAAGUCCUGAUUAUCAGUUCUGGGUCCCUGGCAAUGACUGUUGGGUACAAACUGCAAAGCUUUGUUCGUCAGGUAGGGCUGGGCUUUUCAUUGACCAUGGGUUGGAAUAGUUCUGUGGGCAUAGUGUGUCUUCGAAGCCACUAUGUUUUCUGCACUUGUGACUAGAGAGCACCUUGAUAGCUCAGUUGGUAGAGCGGUGGACUGUAAGAUGCUCCUUGUGUGAAACGCUGUGAUCCUAAGGUCGCUGGUUCAACUCCAGCCGGAAGCACCUCCUUGUCAUUGGAAAUACCCCCAAGCCUUGUCUUUAUCUGUCAACUCCUCCAAAAUGUAAAAACACAAACAAGAUAACUCUUUCUUAAAUUUUCAACCAUCAAUUUUUUAUUCACCCAGCCUAAAAGUCCUGAUUAUCAGUUCUGGGUCCCUGGCAAUGACUGUUGGGUACAAACUGCAAAGCUUUGUUCGUCAGGUAGGGCUGGGCUUUUCAUUGACCAUGGGUUGGAAUAGUUCUGUGGGCAUAGUGUGUCUUCGAAGCCACUAUGUUUUCUGCA
Molecule: long non-coding RNA, 3440 nt
Filed under: Xyrichtys novacula (pearly razorfish)
Lineage: Eukaryota; Metazoa; Chordata; Actinopteri; Labriformes; Labridae
Rfam family: tRNA (bases 312-394)
Source: RNAcentral